UGUCGUUGCGCAGCCUAGAGAAGGGCGUUUCCUUCGGGAACGCAAUGACAGGUGGUGCAUGGUCGUCGUCAGCUCGUGUCGUGAGAUGUUGGGUUAAGUCCCGCAACGAGCGCAACCCUUGUUACUAGUUGCCAGCAUUAAGUUGGGCACUCUAGUGAGACUGCCGGUGACAAACCGGAGGAAGGUGGGGACGACGUCAGAUCAUCAUGCCCCUUAUGACCUGGGCUACACACGUGCUACAAUGGACGGUACAACGAGUCGCGAACUCGCGAGGGCAAGCAAAUCUCUUAAAACCGUUCUCAGUUCGGACUGCAGGCUGCAACUCGCCUGCACGAAGUCGGAAUCGCUAGUAAUCGCGGAUCAGCAUGCCGCGGUGAAUACGUUCCCGGGUCUUUUACACACCGA
This 405-nucleotide ribosomal RNA is filed under the name Limosilactobacillus fermentum. RNAcentral describes it as "bacterial SSU rRNA". It matches the Rfam family "Bacterial small subunit ribosomal RNA", at positions 985 to 1393 of the family's 1533-position model. The record is from RNAcentral. Lineage: Bacteria; Bacillati; Bacillota; Bacilli; Lactobacillales; Lactobacillaceae.